GACGAACGCUGGCGGCGUGCUUAACACAUGCAAGUCGAACGGAAAGGCCCCUUUUGGGGUACUCGAGUGGCGAACGGGGGAGUAACACGUGAGUAACCUUCCCUUGACUUCGGGAUAACCUCAGGAAACUGGGGCUAAUACCGGCUAGGAAUCCUUGCUGCAUGGUGGGGGUUGGAAAGCUUCGGCGGUUUUGGAUGGGCUCGCGGCUUAUCAGCUUGUUGGUGGGGUAGUGGCUUACCAAGGCUUUGACGGGUAGCCGGCCUGAGAGGGCGACCGGCCACAUUGGGACUGAGAUACGGCCCAGACUCCUACGGGAGGCAGCAGUGGGGAAUAUUGCACAAUGGGCGGAAGCCUGAUGCAGCAACGCCGCGUGCGGGAUGACGGCCUUCGGGUUGUAAACCGCUUUCAGCAGGGGCGAAGCUUGUGGUGACGGUACCUGCAGAAGAAGCACCGGCUAACUACGUG
RNAcentral lists this ribosomal RNA (465 nucleotides) under uncultured bacterium. Its description in RNAcentral is "partial 16S ribosomal RNA". It matches the Rfam family "Bacterial small subunit ribosomal RNA", at positions 28 to 507 of the family's 1533-position model. The record is from RNAcentral.